GUUGAACGCUGGCGGCGUGCUUAACACAUGCAAGUCGAUCGGUAACAGGUGUAGCAAUACAUGCUGACGAGAGGCGGACGGGUGAGUAAUGCUUGGGAAUCUGCCUAUUAGUGGGGGACAACCCGGGGAAACUCGGGCUAAUACCGCAUACGCUCUACGGAGGAAAGCCGGGGACCGCAAGGCCUGGCGCUAAUAGAUGAGCCCAAGUCGGAUUAGCUAGUUGGUAGGGUAACGGCCUACCAAGGCGACAAUCCGUAGCUGGUCUGAGAGGACGACCAGCCACACCGGAACUGAGACACGGUCCGGACUCCUACGGGAGGCAGCAGUGGGGAAUAUUGGACAAUGGGGGCAACCCUGAUCCAGCGACGCCGCGU
This 374-nucleotide ribosomal RNA is filed under the name uncultured bacterium. RNAcentral describes it as "bacterial SSU rRNA". It matches the Rfam family "Bacterial small subunit ribosomal RNA", at positions 28 to 402 of the family's 1533-position model. The record is from RNAcentral.